Hibiscus syriacus is the source of this 638-nucleotide long non-coding RNA. RefSeq lists it as uncharacterized. NCBI's taxonomy places the organism in Eukaryota, Viridiplantae, Streptophyta, Magnoliopsida, Malvales, Malvaceae. The record is from RefSeq and is a predicted model, not a curated record. The transcript has 4 exons.
AUUACUCCUAACUUCCCAUUUUUUUCACUGAGUUGCCCCUUCGUCACUUUGCCACCGCCGUCACUGCCUUUAACCUCCGUCCCUUUGCAAUGGCAUCAAAGAAGAAGCUGUUGAACCCAAUGAGGGAGAUUAAAGUUCAAAAGCUCGUCCUCAAUAUAUCCGUCAGUGAAAACGGUCUUAGAACAACUCGGUGGUCAAACCCCCGUCCUCUCCAAGGCUAGGUACACUGAGAUCCUUCGGAAUCACGCGUAAUGAGAAGAUUGCUUGCUACGCGACGGUGAGGGGAGAAAAGGCUAUGCAGCUUCUCGAGAGUAGUUUGAAGGUUAAGGAAUAUGAGCUUUUGAGGAGGAACUUCAGUGAUAUUGGCUGCUUUGGGUUCGGCAUCCAGGAGCACAUUGAUCUCGGCAUCAAGUAUUAAUUUUCGGGCACUUCUUUAUUAAUUUGUGAUGUAAUGUAAUUGAGGGUUCUUAUGUUGAUACUGCAUUCACUGUUGACACGUCCAACUAAAUUGAACUAAAUUUAGAUCCUUUAAUAGGUUUAAGGAGUUGGUUUUCAUCAUAACCUUAUGAUUAAAAAUACUUCUACUACUUGGAUCGGAGCACACAUGUUUGUGUCUUGCAAUGAUGUUUGGUUUUGGG